GAGCCUGAUGCAGCGACGCCGCGUGCGGGAUGACGGCCUUCGGGUUGUAAACCGCUUUUGACAGGGACGAAGCGCAAGUGACUGUACCUGUAGAAUAAGGACCGGCCAACUACGUGCCAGCAGCCGCGGUAAUACGUAGGGUCCGAGCGUUGUCCGGAAUUACUGGGCGUAAAGAGCUUGUAGGCGGUUCGUCGCGUCGUUUGUGAAAACUUGGGGCUCAACCUUAAGCUUGCAGGCGAUACGGGCGGACUAGAGUACUUCAGGGGAGACUGGAAUUCCUGGUGUAGCGGUGAAAUGCGCAGAUAUCAGGAGGAACACCGGUGGCGAAGGCGGGUCUCUGGGAAGUAACUGACGCUGAGAAGCGAAAGCAUGGGUAGCAAACAGGAUUAGAUACCCUGGUAGUCCAUGCCGUAAACGGUGGGUACUAGGUGUGGGGCUCCUUCCACGGACUCCGUGCCGUAGCUAACGCAUUAAGUACCCCGCCUGGGGAGUACGGCCGCAAGGCUAAAACUCAAAGAAAUUGACGGGGGCCCGCACAAGCGGCGGAGCAUGUGGAUUAAUUCGAUGCAACGCGAAGAACCUUACCUGGGUUUGACAUACACCGGAAACCUGCAGAGAUGUAGGCCCCCUUGUGGUCGGUGUACAGGUGGUGCAUGGCUGUCGUCAGCUCGUGUCGUGAGAUGUUGGGUUAAGUCCCGCAACGAGCGCAACCCUUAUCUUAUGUUGCCAGCGCGUAAUGGCGGGGACUCGUGAGAGACUGCCGGGGUCAACUCGGAGGAAGGUGGGGACGACGUCAAGUCAUCAUGCCCCUUAUGUCCAGGGCUUCACACAUGCUACAAUGGCCGGUACAGAGGGCUGCGAUACCGUGAGGUGGAGCGAAUCCCUUAAAGCCGGUCUCAGUUCGGAUCGGGGUCUGCAACUCGACCCCGUGAAGUUGGAGUCGCUAGUAAUCGCAGAUCAGCAACGCUGCGGUGAAUACGUUCCCGGGCCUUGUACACACCGCCCGUCACGUCAUGAAAGUCGGUAACACCCGAAGCCGGUGGCCUAACCCCUUGUGGGAGGGAGCCGUCGAAGGUGGGAUCGGCGAUUGGGACGAAGUCGUA
Molecule: ribosomal RNA, 1103 nt
Filed under: Nocardia sp. HSM1
Lineage: Bacteria; Bacillati; Actinomycetota; Actinomycetes; Mycobacteriales; Nocardiaceae
Description: bacterial SSU rRNA
Rfam family: Bacterial small subunit ribosomal RNA
Source: RNAcentral